UACGUAGGGGGCAAGCGUUGUCCGGAUUUAUUGGGCGUAAAGCGCGUGUAGGCGGCCAGACAGGUCCGUUGUGAAAACUCGAGGCUCAACCUCGAGACGCCGAUGGAAACCGUUUGGCUAGAGUCCGGAAGAGGAGAGUGGAAUUCCUGGUGUAGCGGUGAAAUGCGCAGAUAUCAGGAAGAACACCCGUGGCUAAGGCGGCGCUCUAGUACGGUACUGACGCUGAGACGCGAAAGCGUGGGUAGCAAACAGG
This 253-nucleotide ribosomal RNA is filed under the name uncultured bacterium. RNAcentral describes it as "partial 16S ribosomal RNA". It matches the Rfam family "Bacterial small subunit ribosomal RNA", at positions 524 to 776 of the family's 1533-position model. The record is from RNAcentral.